UUUUUUUUCCCCUCUCUUCUGCUCUCUGUCUUGCCUUUAACCGCUACCAGCUCAGCUUGGUUUAAACACUUUUCCUGGCCAAUGCAGGACUGAGUGCCCAUCCAACUUACCCGGGGACUUAAAUGUGGGCUUCUGCAUCCGACAAAUAUGGUUGUGUCUGUGGCUCCCAAGGUCUGAGCCCAGUCUCUCUGCCAUGGGCUGUGCUGGGACAAGUGCCUGCCUCCACCUUGGCCCCGCUGGCGUCUCACUUCUCCAGUGCCCAGCCCUGCACAGGGGCUGACUUCAAAGUCCCCAAAGAACAGCCACAGUUUUAUUGCGCAUGUUUUUCUGCCAAGAGCAAGCGUAGGAGCUCAGCGAGACCAAGUGGGUUGAGGAUAGUGGCUGAUGUUCACCCACCAUCACUCUACUCCUGUUGGUAGCUGGAGGAUGGGAUCCACAGGGUGCCUCUGAUGUUACAUUAAAGGCACCAUCAUGGCCAUUUGUCUGCUCCUCCACCAAAAGGCACAACCCUGAAAAGCAUAAGAUUCCACCCAGAUCCUCAAAGCAAAUUUAAAUCGCCACGAUGAACUCUGCUGCUGUGGUUGUGUCAUUGCCUUCGGUUCUAGUAAGGAUUUAAAAGGUCAUUUUUUAGAAGCUCUUACACAGGGCUCGCUUUAGGUGGCUGGCAGCUGCUGUCCCACUGGUCUGCAGAAUUUGGGGACUGUUUAGGACAGCCCAUGUCAAAUGCAUUUGAGGAAAUCAAACUGGGUACAAGGUGCAGAUGUUUAACAGCCCAAGAAGUCUAGUAGCUGUCCUACCUCUGUCAGUCUGAAGGAAAUUCAAUACCAUGGAGUGCUUGGCUGUGCAACACCCCACCACUAACACUUUUUGUUGUUUGUUUGGUUGUUGUUUUUUUUUUUUUUUUUUUUAAUCUGAAUCACUCAGACUUUCCCUCACACUUUUCAGCUCUCCCUUUGCUUUAAUUUCACUGCAGUCAUGCAUUACACCAGUGCCACAGCUCCAUCUCUUUUCCCUUUAAUCCAAACCAAAGGUUGAAAUUUGCCUUCAAAUGAGACAAAUAAUGAUGGUUAAAAGGGCCAACAAACUGAGGCAAUGAGAGGGAAGCUGCACAGAGCCAGAAGCGAGGCAUGUGAGGGGUGUGAAGCGAUUUUGGGGGCUGGGGCUGAGCACAGCGGAUUUACACCCGGGCUCCAUGCGGCCUUUGCUUUCCAGUGAUGCUGGAAGUCGAUGGGGCGCAGGGAAAUAUUUGCUCCCCAGCUGGCGGUGAUAUUUUAAAAAGCAGCGAGAAGCAUCGAUGCAAUUAGGUAUUCCAAAGUGCUUAGUUUGCCAGUUGCUAAGUUUACUUAAACCCUCUUUAAAGGGUUCAUUAGAAGACUGUGAGGAACGGUAAAAUUCAUUAAGACGGAGGCAGCCAUUGCA
Molecule: long non-coding RNA, 1419 nt
Filed under: Cyanistes caeruleus (blue tit)
Lineage: Eukaryota; Metazoa; Chordata; Aves; Passeriformes; Paridae
Description: lncRNA (ENSCCEG00000021543.1)
Source: RNAcentral